UGCCCUGAAUUCUUUCUUGCGUGAGAUCCAAGAACCCUCUCUUGGAGUCUGGAUCAGGACCCCUGUCCUGUAACAUCUUCCUGGAGAUCAUGAAGGGACUAUAGUGAGAAAACCCUGACUCAAUGGCUACCUUUGGGUAAAUGUUGGGGUCCUGUAACAUCUUUCUGGCAAUGACAGAAGUGACUAUACUUCGGAAACCCCUGAUCCAACAAAAGCUAACUUUGGGUAAGUGGUGGGGUCUGGUAACAUCUUUCUCUCGAACCACAAAAGGGACAAUACUGAGGAGACCCUCCGACGCAAAGGAAAUAGACUGGAGCACUGAUUGGACAACUUUGGCUUGGCCCCCAGGGCAAUGGUGCUGCAAGCUGGAUCACUGGGGCCGCUCAGGGAAAGGGAAUCCAGAAGCCUGGCAUGCUGACAAAAGGGUGCAGUGGCUCAUGCCUGUAAUCCUAGCACUUUGGGAGGC
This 466-nucleotide long non-coding RNA is filed under the name Homo sapiens (human). RNAcentral's name for it is "HSALNT0354878". The record is from RNAcentral. Lineage: Eukaryota; Metazoa; Chordata; Mammalia; Primates; Hominidae.